GAAAUGCGAUACGUAGUGUGAAUUGCAGAAUUCCGUGAACCAUCAAAUCUUUGAACGCAAAUUGCGCUCGAGGCUUCGGCCAAGAGCAUGUCUGCCUCAGCGUCGAUUGACCCCCUCGCCUCCCACCCUUUGGGGUGUGUUGACAGAGUCAUCUGUUGACUUGGAGACGGACCUGAUCGUCCCAGGCUUCGCGCCUGGGUCGGUUGAAGCACAGAGGCUUGAGCUGGGACCCGUCACGGGCAAUGGCUGGAUAGGUAGUAUCGGCUUCGGCUGUCUACACGAAGCUGUUGCUUGGAGCCCAGCUGGGAGCCCACAAGCAGGAAACCCAAAUUUCCGACCUGAGCUCAGGCAAGAUUACCCGCUGAACUUAA
Molecule: unclassified non-coding RNA, 371 nt
Filed under: uncultured fungus
Lineage: Eukaryota; Fungi
Description: sequence contains ITS1
Rfam family: 5.8S ribosomal RNA (bases 1-105)
Source: RNAcentral